AUGGUUAGUUACAAAGGGAGGAACCUGGCCAAGGACAACUUGUGUAAAAAAGGCUGGAAAGGCACCAACAAAUAUGAAUUUUGUGAUGCCAAUGAAUGUAUUGAUCAUCUGUUUUUCACGUGCUCUUUUGCUCGGUUUCUUUGGAAUGUAGUUGGGAGUGCUUUGGGAAAUCCCCAAACACCCCUGUCAUUCUUUGACUUUUGCCAGAAUUGGCUUCCUAAGUAUACUGGGAAAGAUAGAACGGUUAUAUCUAUUGGUACGACUGCUUUUGUUGUGGUUGAUCUGGAAAUCAAGAAAUAA
Molecule: ribosomal RNA, 300 nt
Filed under: Triticum aestivum (bread wheat)
Lineage: Eukaryota; Viridiplantae; Streptophyta; Magnoliopsida; Poales; Poaceae
Description: partial small subunit ribosomal RNA
Source: RNAcentral